UCAAGUUCUGAUACACAAACUACACUGCCAUAGGGCAUUAAAUAACACUACAUAUUGCCACUGCAGAUUUUCUCCCUCGGGUCUUCAUUACCGA
This is a long non-coding RNA of Ipomoea nil (Japanese morning glory), 94 nucleotides long. RefSeq lists it as uncharacterized. The record is from RefSeq and is a predicted model, not a curated record. The transcript has 3 exons. Lineage: Eukaryota; Viridiplantae; Streptophyta; Magnoliopsida; Solanales; Convolvulaceae.